UACCAGCACCCCGAGUGGUCGGGACGUUUAUUGGGCCUAAAGCAUCCGUAGCCGGUUCUACAAGUCUUCCGUUAAAUCCAACUGCUUAACAGGUGGGCUGCGGAAGAUACUAUAGAGCUAGGAGGCGGGAGAGGCAAGCGGUACUCGAUGGGUAGGGGUAAAAUCCGUUGAUCCAUUGAAGACCACCAAUGGCGAAGGCGGCUUGCCAGAACGCGCUCGACGGUGAGGGAUGAAAGCUGGGGGAGCAAACCGG
RNAcentral lists this ribosomal RNA (253 nucleotides) under uncultured bacterium. RNAcentral describes it as "partial 16S ribosomal RNA". It matches the Rfam family "Archaeal small subunit ribosomal RNA", at positions 474 to 727 of the family's 1478-position model. The record is from RNAcentral.